This 1432-nucleotide ribosomal RNA is filed under the name metagenome. Its description in RNAcentral is "bacterial SSU rRNA". It matches the Rfam family "Bacterial small subunit ribosomal RNA". The record is from RNAcentral.
AGAGUUUGAUCCUGGCUCAGGAUGAACGCUGGCGGCGUGCCUAAUACAUGCAAGUCGAACGCUUCACUUCGGUGAAGAGUGGCGAACGGGUGAGUAAUACAUAAGUAACCUGGCAUCUACAGGGGGAUAACUGAUGGAAACGUCAGCUAAGACCGCAUAGGUGUAGAGAUCGCAUGAACUCUAUAUGAAAAGUGCUACGGGACUGGUAGAUGAUGGACUUAUGGCGCAUUAGCUUGUUGGUAGGGUAACGGCCUACCAAGGCGACGAUGCGUAGCCGACCUGAGAGGGUGACCGGCCACACUGGGACUGAGACACGGCCCAGACUCCUACGGAGGCAGCAGUAGGGAAUUUUCGGCAAUGGGGGAAACCCUGACCGAGCAACGCCGCGUGAAGGAAGAAGUAAUUCGUUAUGUAAACUUCUGUCAUAGAGGAAGAACGGUGGAUAUAGGGAAUGAUAUCCAAGUGACGGUACUCUAUAAGAAAACCACGGCUAACUACGUGCCAGCAGCCGCGGUAAUACGUAGGUGGCAAGCGUUAUCCGGAAUUAUUGGGCGUAAAGAGGGAGCAGGCGGCACUAAGGGUCUGUGGUGAAAGAUCGAAGCUUAACUUCGGUAAGCCAUGGAAACCGUAGAGCUAGAGUGUGUGGGAGGAUCGUGGAAUUCCAUGUGUAGCGGUGAAAUGCGUAGAUAUAUGGAGGAACACCAGUGGCGAAGGCGACGAUCUGGCGCAUAACUGACGCUCAGUCCCGAAAGCGUGGGGAGCAAAUAGGAUUAGAUACCCUAGUAGUCCACGCCGUAAACGAUGAGUACUAAGUGUUGGGGGUCAAACCUCAGUGCUGCGGUUAACGCAAUAAGUACUCCGCCUGAGUAGUACGUUCGCAAGAAUGAAACUCAAAGGAAUUGACGGGGGCCCGCACAAGCGGUGGAGCAUGUGGUUUAAUUCGAAGCAACGCGAAGAACCUUACCAGGUCUUGACAUCGAUCUAAAGGCUCCAGAGAUGGAGAGAUAGCUAUAGAGAAGACAGGUGGUGCAUGGUUGUCGUCAGCUCGUGUCGUGAGAUGUUGGGUUAAGUCCCGCAACGAGCGCAACCCCUGUUGCCAGUUGCCAGUAUUAAGUUGGGGACUCUGGCGAGACUGCCGGUGACAAGCCGGAGGAAGGCGGGGAUGACGUCAAAUCAUCAUGCCCCUUAUGACCUGGGCUACACACGUGCUACAAUGGACAGAGCAGAGGGAAGCGAAGCCGCGAGGUGGAGCGAAACCCAUAAAACUGUUCUCAGUUCGGACUGCAGUCUGCAACUCGACUGCACGAAGAUGGAAUCGCUAGUAAUCGCGAAUCAGCAUGUCGCGGUGAAUACGUUCUCGGGCCUUGUACACACCGCCCGUCACACCAUGAGAGUCGGUAACACCCGAAGCCGGUGGCCUAACCGCAAGGAA